AACGAACGCUGGCGGCAGGCUUAACACAUGCAAGUCGAACGCCCCGCAAGGGGAGUGGCAGACGGGUGAGUAACGCGUGGGAACAUACCCUUUCCUGCGGAAUAGCUCCGGGAAACUGGGAUUAAUACCGCAUACGCCCUACGGGGGAAAGAUUUAUCGGGGAAGGAUUGGCGCGCGUUGGAUUAGCUGGUUGGUGGGGUCAAGGCCUACCAAGGCGACGAUCCAUAGCUGGUCUGAGAGGAUGAUCAGCCACAUCGGGCCUGAGACACGGCCCAAACUCCUACGGGAGGCAGCAGUGGGGAAUAUUGGACAAUGGGCGCAAGCCUGAUGCAGCCAUGCCGCGUGAGUGAUGAAGGCCUUAGGGUUGUAAAGCUCUUUCACCGAUGAAGAUAAUGACGGUAGUCGGAGAAGAAGCCCCGGCUAACUUCGUG
RNAcentral lists this ribosomal RNA (431 nucleotides) under uncultured bacterium. Its description in RNAcentral is "partial 16S ribosomal RNA". It matches the Rfam family "Bacterial small subunit ribosomal RNA", at positions 29 to 507 of the family's 1533-position model. The record is from RNAcentral.